UGUAAAUUAAAUUGUUAUAAUUAAUAUUAUUUAACUUAUAAUUUUAGGAAAAUGGCGCUGCAUACGAAGCAGGAGGUCUUGAAGUUGGACAGUUGAUCUUAGAAGUCGACGGCCAAAAAGUUGAAGGAAUGCCUCAUCAAGAAGUAGCCAGGCUCAUCGCAGAAUCGUUUGCACAAACUGAUAAAUCCGAAAUCGAGUUCCUUGUAGUUGAAGCAAAGAAAUCGAAUUUGGAACCGAAACCUACCGCACUGAUAUUCUUGGAAAGUUAACCGGUUGUAAAAAACAUGAAUGAUGAUAUAAGUUCCUGUUUAUUAAGUACGGUGAUGAACCCCGAUAACGUGACGACCAUUAAUAAACUUGUUGAAAACACGCAAAACGUUUGUUUAAAUACAUUUAUUUAUUUGAUUAUUUAUAUUUAUCUACUAUAUAAAUUACAAGAUGACAUGUUAUUGAUUCAAUUUAAAAAAUAACAUUUCAUAUUUAAGUAUUUUUAUCCAAUAAUAUUAUUAUUUUCAAUAAUUCUCAUUAUUAUUCUUUAAUAAUUCAUUCUCUAUAUCAAUUUCAUUACGAAUAUCCAAUUUUAUUUUAUUGUACUCUUGUUCAAAUUGAUAUUCAGUAAAAAGAUAUAAUUAUAUUACGUCAUAUUAUUAUUAUUAUUAUUAUUAUUAUUAUUAUUAUAUGUUAUCUAAUAAUGUAUCAUGAAAUUGAUAGUGAAGUACAAUUCAUUUUCGAAUAACCGGCCUAUUAAAUAAUAAUAAUAUUAUCAUAGGUGUUAUGCAUACCGUACGACAUAAUAUUAUAUUAUAUUAAAUAGUAGGUAGGUACCAAUACCUACAAAUUGUGUACUAACAUAAUUCAUACAUAAUAAUAUAUAAUAUUAUGGCCUAGUAAAAUGUACAGGCCACACUACAGCUGUUAGACUUUGACACUUUGUAUACAAUUCUAAAAUAUAAUAGUACUUUUUAAUAUUAUAUUUUAGUUCACAGUUUUAAGUACCCUCGGUUUUCGAUUGGGUGUAAAAGCGGAUUGGCCUAUAUAAUUAAUUUAUCUGUUAUACGAGAGAACUAUAUAGUAUAAUAUACAGCAUACAUAUUAUAACAUAUUACAUUUUAUAUGUAAAGUAGUGGUCGAUAUAGAUAGCAGUAAUAAUAAUAAUAAUAAUAACUGGGGCCCUGUUUUUGAUAUCCAAAAAAACCUAUAAAAGAUAUUUUUUUCAAAAACAUUGUUUUGCAAUGACAUCAAACUAUGGGAGGAUAAAACUUUUCGAAAUAAUGAGUGCAGACACUUAAAUCCUCCCCCGAACUGCUCUUUGAGAGAAAACAUCAUCUCUUAUAUUCGAUUAUAAUAUAUAAUACAUAUAUCUACUAUAUAUAAAGUCAUAACUCUUAGGUAUAUUUUAUAAUAUGUAUGUGCACAUCCUCGAUCUCCCUGUUAUUCUAAGCCACUUGUCCACUUCGACUACUGACCAUAUUAUGAGUACCUAUGUUUAUAUAUUUUAUACUUCCUUUAUACGAUAUAAUGACCAUGACGCUAUGCUAUAAUAAUAUAAGUAAUUUUCCUCUGCGAACAUAACCGUCACAUAUAUAUAUUAAUAUAUUAUAUAUAAUAUUUUACAUUAUUAAAAGGUACGCCUUUAUAUUAUACGUUCGAAUUCCAUUCAGAUUAUUUUCAUUAUUUUUAAAAUUUAAUUACGUAUAAUAUUAUUAUUAUUAUUAUUAUUAAAUAGUUACAUAGUGACAAUAUAUAUUAUAAUAUGUAUGUGUCGUGUAGGUAUUUAUUGCGUUCGCUCGCGUAUUUAAUAUUUCUCUCUCUCUCUCUCUCUCUUUCUCAAUUUAUUUUUUUUUAAUUAAACUAGAACGAAUAGACGAUAUACAUAGUCAUGAUCAUACGCUGUUGUUUUUCAUUAUCGAUUUCAAGUUUUAUUCGGUACCUACGCUUAUCGCGUAUUAGUGUAGGUACUAUCAGUAAUUUUAAUAAUUUGGUGCUGUGUUAUUGUGCCACCUGGGGGAAGAUUUUAUGGUGACACUCUUUAUUAUUAGUUUAUCUUGUUUAUACGGAAAAACAAUCGAGUAAUAACAAUCACACUGUUACAAAUGUAUUUAUUCAUAGAGCCACAUUUUUAACUUAAGAAUAGUUGACAAUGAAACAACAUGUAGGUAUAUUUAUAAAAAAAUAUUAGUAUAUACGCGCACUAUGUUUAUAAUAAAUAUUAUAGAAAUUGAAAAUAUUUUUUUUUUUAGGAAUUCUGCUGAUUUUUAAUAAUUUUGAAGAACAUAAGAAAGUAUUAAUAAAAAAACACCUUUCGACAAUUUUUCCUCUCACAAAACUUUGUCACCCCAUGAAACUUCGUCCUCUCCCAAAACACGGCACCGUAGUUACCGUUCGUCACAGUUCAAUUAAAUUUAAAAAAGACUUAACUGCGAGUGUUGGUAUUUCGUUCUCAAACUAAAUAGGGGUUAAGAGCUCUGGGAACUUGGCUGGUGUAUUACAGGCGUAUAAUUAUACUAUAUACCUACAUACUGCAGCAGUAGGUAUAAUAGCUACAUAUUAUAAUAGGCUUCGCCCGUUACAUUAUUUUAGCUAAUCGAUAAAAAAAAUUGAUGAUAAUAAAUAUUAGCCAUACUUAGACCACCUAGCUAUAUAUUAUAUAUAGUAUUAUUCAUUGUGGUAUGCCGUAAAACGUUAACAACCGCAAUAUUAUAUUAUUAAAAUAUAUAUAUUAUUAUAUAUAUAUAUAUAGAACUCGACUCGAUAUUUUAUUUUAGAUACGUAACUAUUGUUUUUAUUUGUACAAAUUAAUUAAUACAUAUUUGUUGUUUGUUGGACAUAUUAUAUUAUACACGUGUAUAUAAAUAUAUAUAUAUAUUUAUUUAUACAGUAUUAUACGGAAUGUCCUACAAUGUUCUUGGUAUUUUCAAGUGACGGACUGUGUAGCUGGUACAUCUAGGACCACCUGUUAAAUACUUAAAUAUAUGUAUAUAUUAUACACACACGCACAUACACACACACAUAUAUAUAUAUAUAUAUAUAUACGUGUGUGUAUGUCUAUGAUAGGUAUAUUAUAUAUUUAUAUAUUGACACAAAAUGUGUAUUUUAAUUUACGAUGACAAGUAAUAUUUGAGCCUGUAUUUUUGGUACGUUGUAUAACACGCACUAUACAUUAUUAUGUUGCAUGUUUACUAUUUGUAGUCGUAAUUAAAUUGUUACUAAAAAAUAUAUUAAUAAUUAC
This is a long non-coding RNA of Acyrthosiphon pisum (pea aphid), 3229 nucleotides long. RefSeq lists it as uncharacterized. The record is from RefSeq and is a predicted model, not a curated record. The transcript is spliced from 2 exons. Lineage: Eukaryota; Metazoa; Arthropoda; Insecta; Hemiptera; Aphididae.